Ictalurus furcatus (blue catfish) is the source of this 3794-nucleotide long non-coding RNA. RefSeq lists it as uncharacterized. The transcript is spliced from 6 exons. The record is from RefSeq and is a predicted model, not a curated record. NCBI's taxonomy places the organism in Eukaryota, Metazoa, Chordata, Actinopteri, Siluriformes, Ictaluridae.
CAUACACGCUCGCAGACACACACACGCGCGCGCACACACACACACACACACACACCUAGCACCAAUGCUCAAUGCUAAUUUGAGUUCAAUCAGGUGCUGGUUUUACACCAACCUACAACAAGUAUCUUCCACCUUAAUCUUCCACCUCAACAAUGUUCAGAUAAGACCAAAAACCCGGACUGGACUUGUACAGAAAAAACUAAGUGAAAGGACUCAAUGCAGUGUGCACUUUGCCUCUGUGCUCGAAAUGCUGAGUCAACAAACCAAGCCAUUGAUAUCUCUGAAGGAAGCUCAGAUGGUGCCCAAGCAGGGAAAACCUGUGGAGCAGAAGGAGAGAACAAGAAUGGCCUUUUAUUGUCAUGCCUGUGUGGUUAUGUUAUGCUGUACAGAAAUAUAUUAAAGAGUGGCCAGCAACUGUAUGUAUCAUAGAGACCUGUAGCUUCUUCUAAAAGGAGCAAACAUGGCUGACAAGACUAUUAUUGAUUAUUUGUAAGCAUUUGUGCUGAACUGCCAUGAACCAGCAUGCCUCUUCCUCUGACUGACUGCCUAAAUGUCUGACUGAUUCAUCCCCACCCUGAUAGAAAAUGAGUAAUACCCCAAUUCACACCUACACUUACUACUUCACCUGACCUACAUACUGCUGUGAAAUGAUAGUGAUGAGUUCAUCUAAAUCUGCUAGAACACAACCACAACUUGCCCGUGAUAUGGUCACCUUUUGGUCAAAAUUGAAAUGCCACACAAGCACUAGUUGCAUUUGAGUGGCCCAGAUUCUUGUGAUUAAAAAUCUUUUCACCCACAAUAUCAUGCCAUUGCCAUAACUCAUCUAAACUCAACUGAAUGUUCUGAGCUGUUUGGAUGUGCACGUGCAGAUUUUGUUUGAAAUGCCUGUAAGCUACGUGAUGAUGUAUACACUUAAAACACGAACCAGUGCCUCAAGAGUAAACCCAAAGAAUACUCUGCUACAAUACAAUUUCCUGCCCAUUUUCUGAAGAAUUCCACCUCCUAGGUUGGGCUAGUUAGUUAGUACUUAAAAGUGGUAUGAUGAUUGGACAGCUCAGAUAAGGUUUAUCAGAAUAAAAGUUCCAAAUCUACUCAAUUUCCACUGUUUUGCGAUGGUUGCUAUAGUGAUGUGAACAACUUCUUCAAUGUCCGAAAAACUGGCUGCAGUACAUCCGCUUACGUGGUUUUGUUUUUAACCUGACUUUCAUUUUUUAAAUAGUUCAAUACGACAGUAUGCAGCACUGCCUCCAUGUGUGUGUGUGUGUGUGUGUGUGUGUGUGUGUGAGUGAGAGUGAGUUUAGAGAGGAUUUCACAUGUAGUCACUACACACUGAACAAAAUGCAAGAAACAGCAGAACAUAUGGAUAGUUGCUGAGCUGAACAAAUCAGCAUGUUAGGGGGUAGGGUAAGAGAGCAGGGUCAACCAGGAUAUGCCGUCCCUGGAGCAGAGAAGGUUACGGGCCUUGCUCAAGGGCCCAAAAGUGGCAGCCUGGCAGCGACUUUCCGAUCAGUGACCCAGAGCCUUAACUGCCAAGCAACACACCAGAGUGACUUACAAUUAUCUCAUUUAUACAACUGAGCAGUUGAAGGUUAAGGGCCUUGCUCAAGGGCCCAGCAGUGGCAGAUUGGCAGUGUUGGGAUUUAAACUUACGACCUUCCAAUCAGAAGUCUUAACCACUGAGCUACCACUUCCUUUUUUUGCAGAAAGAGGGUAACUAUUGGCAUUCUCCCCAGAGCCCAGUGAGGAAAAGCAAGAGGGAGGAAAGAGUGAGGGAGGGGAGACGAGAGGAAGGGAGGAGGGGACUGAGGGAAGGAGGGGAAGGGAGUCUGGGUCUCCAUAGAGACGAAAGGCUGUUUUUGUUAGCGUGGUGUGUGUGAGUCAGAGGAGCGGUGAGUCACAGUCAGGAGGGAAACUCUCCACGGAGCCAAAUAAGGACAACUACACGCAGCGAGACAGAGGGAGGGAGAAAGAGAGAGAGAGACAGAGACAGAGAGAGAGAGAGACGCACACAAAGACAGGCCGAAAUGGAGAGGCUAGUCAUAUCUCACUCUUCCUAUGCUAGCUCAUUGUUUACUUUAGCACUGCGUUGUGUUAGGAGUGUAUAUGAAUAUUGGCAGCCAGAUUGACAUUGAGGCUCGGUACAUUUAGGCUGAGGUUUACAUGAAGCGGCCUCAUCUGUCCUGUGUAAUUCACCAAGCAGGCUGACUUCCACAGAACUGCAGCAUUAUGAAAAGGUGAUAAUGAUGCGUCUGCUUUUAUGAGCCCGGGGAGAGAUAAGAAAACAAUAAAUGUCACCUUGAGACUCCUUGAACAGCUGUGUCCUGAGAUUAAGGGAGGAUUGCUGAAUGUAAAAUGGGUGAUCUGUACUGCAGCCUAUGAGCUUUUUAAAAAAAAUAAAAUAAUUAAUGUUAGUUAGCAGCAAACACAUGAAAUUUAUGAUAGCAGUCAGGGGUUGUGUGUGGGUGUGCAAGACAGAAAAGUGUAAUACUAACACCAAAGAGCAAGCCUACCACAAUGAAGGAGGGGGUAAAACAUAAGAGCCUGUUUCAUCUUUGGCUUCCCUUAUUCUAUGAAUACACGUUUAUGAUUCAUGUCACUUACAUCACCCUGUGUGUUUUUUUUUCCAUGUAAUGAUGCCACAGCAAUUCCGCUUUCAGGAUGUCUCGCAGGUUAUAUUUAUCAGCAGCCAAUGACCGCAUUCAAUACGGCAAAUAAAGCAAAAACUGACCAUCAGUCUUCACCUAGAGACGUUCGACUGAAAUAAAACUACAGUUCAGUCCUUGCCUGUGUGUUAUCUGAGAACUACAUGCAGCUUUUAAGGACAUUUCAGUAAGCAGGUGCACUGUGAGACAUCAUGGAAAAUUGCUUAAUUAAAUCCACGAACACUGAUUAACUUGUAUAAUCAAUAUUUGGACAAAUGUUCCAGUAUCUGCUCCUCGGGUUUCUAAUCCGUACAUACAUCAUGAUAGUAUCAUUACUGCAGUAAUCAGGCAGUCCAUCAAUUUGAAGAUAGGAAAGUUUUCUGUUUUAGCAACACAAACCAAAUGAACACUCCCCUGAAGUACAUAUAGUACAGUCAGCAGUGAUUCACACAGUGUACACUACAUAGUUAUCCUACUUACAAAAGCCUGCAGUGUACACUAAUUGUGGCACAUUAACAACAUAACGAUGAUUUUUAGUGUUUAUAACAAUGUGAUGAUGAUUUUUAGUGUUUAUAACUCCUUCAGUGUUUGACAUGUUCAUGUAUUGACACAUUUUCUUGGGAAAUAUUCAAAAUUGAGUUACAGGCAUGUAGUGAGGAUUUUCUAUUGAAAAUUUUUCACAUUCGUAUUCAGACCUCAGACAUACCGUUGAGGUCAUAAGUUUGUAUACGCCUUGUGGAAUCUGCAAAAUGUUAACCAUUUUAAUAAAUAAAUAUACAUAAGCAAUCAUAAAAAUUGCAUUUAGUGUUUUAUUUAGUACUGCCUUGAAUAAGUUAUUUUACAUAACAGAUUUUUACAUAUAGUUCACAAGACACAAUAAUACCUGAAUUUACACAAAUGAACCAGUUCAAAAGUGUACAUACGCUUGAUUCUUAACACUGUGUGUUGUUACCUGGAUGAUCAGUGACUGCUUUUAUGUUUUGUGAUAGUUGUUCAUGAGACCUUUGUUUGUCCUUUGUCCUGCCCAUUGGUCUUCAGAAAUAAUCCUCCAAGGUCCUGCAUAUUAUUUGCUUUUCCAGCCUCUUCUGCAUAUUUGACCCCUUUACAACAGCGGCUAUAAGAUUUUGAGAUCCAUCUUUUCACACUUAAGAC